Molecule: small nucleolar RNA, 65 nt
Organism: Alosa sapidissima (American shad)
Lineage: Eukaryota; Metazoa; Chordata; Actinopteri; Clupeiformes; Clupeidae
Product: small nucleolar RNA SNORD58
Exons: 1
Source: RefSeq, a predicted model, not a curated record
UUGCGAUGAUGACAACUUAGGACACCUUUGGAUAACCCAUGAAAAGACUUUCCUGACUGAGCAAU